UAUUUUAAUUGUUGCGGGUUAAAAGCUCGUAGUUGGAUUCCUUGUCGAAGGCGGCCGGUCCGCACUAUGUGCGUGUAUCUCCCCUCGGUUUUGGCAUCCUCUUGGGGAACGUUUCUGUGCUUGAUUGCAUGGGGCGGGAUUCAAGACUUUUACUUUGAGGAAAUUAGAGUGUUCACGGCAAGCUAUCGCUUUGAAUACAUUAGCAUGGAAUAAUAAUAUAGGGCGUAAGUUCUAUUUUGUUGGUUUCUAGGACAUACGCAAUGAUUAAUAGGGACAAUUGGGGGCAUUCGUAUUAACGCGUCAGAGGUGGAAUUCUUAGAUUGCGUUACGACGAACUACUGCGAAAGCAUUUGCCAAGGAUUUUUUCAUUGAUCAAGAACGAAAGUCUGGGGAUCGAAGACGAUUAGAUACCGUCGUAGUCUAUACCAUAAACUAUGCCAAUUGGAGAUUGGAGGUCGUUCGUUUUAUGACUCCUUCAGCACCUUAUGAGACUCAAAAUUUUGGGGUUCCGGGGGGCGUAUGGGUCGCCAGGCUGAAACUUAAAGGAAUUGACGGCAGGGCACGACCACGAGUGGAGCCUGCCGCUUCAUUUGACUCAACACCCGAAAACUUACAGGUCCCGAGAUAGUAAGGAUUGACACUUUGAUGGCUCUUUCGUAAGUCUCUGGGUGGGGGUGCAUGGCCGUUCUUAGUUGGUGGAGUGGUUUGUCAGGUUAAUUCCGUUAACCGAGCGAGAUAGUUAACCUGCCUAACGAUGGGUGGGUGUCUUCCGGAAAUGCAUGUCACUCCUUUAAAGGGAAGUUGACGGCGAAGGGCAAGG
This 820-nucleotide ribosomal RNA is filed under the name uncultured eukaryote. Its description in RNAcentral is "bacterial SSU rRNA". It matches the Rfam family "Eukaryotic small subunit ribosomal RNA", at positions 602 to 1418 of the family's 1831-position model. The record is from RNAcentral.